Molecule: ribosomal RNA, 2924 nt
Filed under: Salmonella enterica subsp. enterica serovar Saintpaul
Lineage: Bacteria; Pseudomonadati; Pseudomonadota; Gammaproteobacteria; Enterobacterales; Enterobacteriaceae
Also listed under: 23 other names
Description: bacterial LSU rRNA
Rfam family: Bacterial large subunit ribosomal RNA
Source: RNAcentral
GGGUUGUGAGGUUAAGCGACUAAGCGUACACGGUGGAUGCCCUGGCAGUCAGAGGCGAUGAAGGGCGUGCUAAUCUGCGAUAAGCGCCGGUAAGGUGAUAUGAACCGUUAUAACCGGCGAUACCCGAAUGGGGAAACCCAGUGUGAUUCGUCACACUAUCAUUAACUGAAUCCAUAGGUUAAUGAGGCGAACCGGGGGAACUGAAACAUCUAAGUACCCCGAGGAAAAGAAAUCAACCGAGAUUCCCCCAGUAGCGGCGAGCGAACGGGGAGGAGCCCAGAGCCUGAAUCAGCAUGUGUGUUAGUGGAAGCGUCUGGAAAGGCGCGCGAUACAGGGUGACAGCCCCGUACACAAAAGCGCAUGUGCUGUGAGCUCGAUGAGUAGGGCGGGACACGUGGUAUCCUGUCUGAAUAUGGGGGGACCAUCCUCCAAGGCUAAAUACUCCUGACUGACCGAUAGUGAACCAGUACCGUGAGGGAAAGGCGAAAAGAACCCCGGCGAGGGGAGUGAAAAAGAACCUGAAACCGUGUACGUACAAGCAGUGGGAGCACCCUUUGGGGUGUGACUGCGUACCUUUUGUAUAAUGGGUCAGCGACUUAUAUUCUGUAGCAAGGUUAACCGUAUAGGGGAGCCGGAGGGAAACCGAGUCUUAAUUGGGCGUUAAGUUGCAGGGUAUAGACCCGAAACCCGGUGAUCUAGCCAUGGGCAGGUUGAAGGUUGGGUAACACUAACUGGAGGACCGAACCGACUAAUGUUGAAAAAUUAGCGGAUGACCUGUGGCUGGGGGUGAAAGGCCAAUCAAACCGGGAGAUAGCUGGUUCUCCCCGAAAGCUAUUUAGGUAGCGCCUCGUGAAUUCAUCUCCGGGGGUAGAGCACUGUUUCGGCUAGGGGGCCAUCCCGGCUUACCAACCCGAUGCAAACUGCGAAUACCGGAGAAUGUUAUCACGGGAGACACACGGCGGGUGCUAACGUCCGUCGUGAAGAGGGAAACAACCCAGACCGCCAGCUAAGGUCCCAAAGUCAUGGUUAAGUGGGAAACGAUGUGGGAAGGCCCAGACAGCCAGGAUGUUGGCUUAGAAGCAGCCAUCAUUUAAAGAAAGCGUAAUAGCUCACUGGUCGAGUCGGCCUGCGCGGAAGAUGUAACGGGGCUAAACCAUGCACCGAAGCUGCGGCAGCGACACUGUGUGUUGUUGGGUAGGGGAGCGUUCUGUAAGCCUGUGAAGGUGUGUCGUGAGGCAUGCUGGAGGUAUCAGAAGUGCGAAUGCUGACAUAAGUAACGAUAAAGCGGGUGAAAAGCCCGCUCGCCGGAAGACCAAGGGUUCCUGUCCAACGUUAAUCGGGGCAGGGUGAGUCGACCCCUAAGGCGAGGCCGAAAGGCGUAGUCGAUGGGAAACGGGUUAAUAUUCCCGUACUUGGUGUUACUGCGAAGGGGGGACGGAGAAGGCUAUGUUGGCCGGGCGACGGUUGUCCCGGUUUAAGCGUGUAGGCUGGUUUUCCAGGCAAAUCCGGAAAAUCAAGGCUGAGGCGUGACGACGAGGCACUACGGUGCUGAAGCAACAAAUGCCCUGCUUCCAGGAAAAGCCUCUAAGCAUCAGGUAACACGAAAUCGUACCCCAAACCGACACAGGUGGUCAGGUAGAGAAUACCAAGGCGCUUGAGAGAACUCGGGUGAAGGAACUAGGCAAAAUGGUGCCGUAACUUCGGGAGAAGGCACGCUGACAUGUAGGUGAAGUGAUUUACUCAUGGAGCUGAAGUCAGUCGAAGAUACCAGCUGGCUGCAACUGUUUAUUAAAAACACAGCACUGUGCAAACACGAAAGUGGACGUAUACGGUGUGACGCCUGCCCGGUGCCGGAAGGUUAAUUGAUGGGGUCAGCGCAAGCGAAGCUCCUGAUCGAAGCCCCGGUAAACGGCGGCCGUAACUAUAACGGUCCUAAGGUAGCGAAAUUCCUUGUCGGGUAAGUUCCGACCUGCACGAAUGGCGUAAUGAUGGCCAGGCUGUCUCCACCCGAGACUCAGUGAAAUUGAACUCGCUGUGAAGAUGCAGUGUACCCGCGGCAAGACGGAAAGACCCCGUGAACCUUUACUAUAGCUUGACACUGAACAUUGAGCCUUGAUGUGUAGGAUAGGUGGGAGGCUUUGAAGUGUGGACGCCAGUCUGCAUGGAGCCGACCUUGAAAUACCACCCUUUAAUGUUUGAUGUUCUAACGUGGACCCGUAAUCCGGGUUGCGGACAGUGUCUGGUGGGUAGUUUGACUGGGGCGGUCUCCUCCUAAAGAGUAACGGAGGAGCACGAAGGUUGGCUAAUCCUGGUCGGACAUCAGGAGGUUAGUGCAAUGGCAUAAGCCAGCUUGACUGCGAGCGUGACGGCGCGAGCAGGUGCGAAAGCAGGUCAUAGUGAUCCGGUGGUUCUGAAUGGAAGGGCCAUCGCUCAACGGAUAAAAGGUACUCCGGGGAUAACAGGCUGAUACCGCCCAAGAGUUCAUAUCGACGGCGGUGUUUGGCACCUCGAUGUCGGCUCAUCACAUCCUGGGGCUGAAGUAGGUCCCAAGGGUAUGGCUGUUCGCCAUUUAAAGUGGUACGCGAGCUGGGUUUAGAACGUCGUGAGACAGUUCGGUCCCUAUCUGCCGUGGGCGCUGGAGAACUGAGGGGGGCUGCUCCUAGUACGAGAGGACCGGAGUGGACGCAUCACUGGUGUUCGGGUUGUCAUGCCAAUGGCACUGCCCGGUAGCUAAAUGCGGAAGAGAUAAGUGCUGAAAGCAUCUAAGCACGAAACUUGCCCCGAGAUGAGUUCUCCCUGAGACUUAAAGUCUCCUGAAGGAACGUUGAAGACGACGACGUUGAUAGGCCGGGUGUGUAAGCGCAGCGAUGCGUUGAGCUAACCGGUACUAAUGAACCGUGAGGCUUAACCUUACAACGCCGAAG